GCUCCAUUUUGGAUGCCUGAGUGACUUGUUAGAACAAAGAACAAACAUCAAACCUGACAGGGGUACAUUCCUCCAAGGUUUCAAAAGAGGCAGAUUAGCAUGUACACAGUGAGUCCGCAUGACCCUGAUGUCUGAGAAGGAAACCUCGUCUUUGAAGGAGGACUAGCAUUGGUGCCAUAGGAGGAGGGGGACAUUUAUCAUUAUUUUCAAAGUGGACAUUCUAAACAAUCUGGUAAACGCAUUCUCUCUUUAAUGAUUAAAGCAGAUGUAUAAUGUAUGUUAGACAAGUCGUAAGACAGGCUGUUCUAGUUAGCGUAAUGUUCAAGCCAAAUCUUAUAUAAGCCAGAACGAUUUCCCCAUACCGCACUAUGUGAAAAUUUCUUCCAUCACAAAGAUGUGUAAGUGUAAUUUAGAUCUGAAGUCUAAGGGUUUUACUACAUGGCUAAUAUCUAUAUAUUUUUUCAAAUGAAAACAUUUAGUUCACCUUUCAUUUAAUAAAAAUCUGCCCCUUUGCCUCUCCUUCACACCUAAGAUUAUCUAUCUAUCCCUAUCUUCUCUCUCUCUCUCUCUGUAUCAUUUCUGGAAGCCAUAAGUAGGAUUUAAUGACCUCAUGACAAUUUCUGUGAAAAAUAUAUUGUGUGCAGAAAUAUUAAUGUAGAAGUAUAUAUUCACAAUGCACAGAUUUGACAAAUAAAUAUAUAGUCUAGAUGUGACUGGUUUUGAGAAGCAUCGUUUUUCUCUGAAAACUUUUGUAGGCUAGUGACAGAAUCUAACCUUUCUUUGAACUGCAACCUAUUUAAUCCACUUUAAAAAAAUGAUGUAAUAGAAUAGAAAAAAAUUGAAAUUUUGUGACUGAAAUUCUUUAAACAUCAAAUACAUUUAAAUGAUUUUGUUAAUUUCAUGUGUAUAAUAAGUAAUGCUUUUAUGAGAUGGAGGAAUCUGUGCUGUUUUACUCCUGGUCUUUCUUCAGAUUGACAUUGGGGUUGCAUGCAUAAAGCACCCACUUUGUCACCUGUGCAAAGGAGCUCGUCAGUGAAUUCUCUCUCUUCCCCUCCCCUCUCUCCCUUUCCCUCUCCUCUCUGCCCCUUCAGAGCUCUCUGUGAGCUCCAGAGUGCCACCUCCACCUCGGAGCAAGUGCAAGCCCAGUGCCCACUGUGGCCUCUUGCCACUGUUGUUUUCUACAAUUGAUUAGGACAUUCCACUAUGGUGGAUUCUCAAAAAUUAUUGCUGAUUAACUGAACAAUAUCAUAUCAUAUGAUGUCAUGAUCCUGCCCUCCCCAACCUUUUUUUGAGACUGAAGAGGUCUUUUAAACAUUAGGCCAUGGUGUCACGAAUUAUAUCACUGAACUGUUGAUAUGAGUUAGUUGUUGGAGUCACUGAAGUCCCUGGACUGAGACUGACCAUGUGCAGACAGGGAGCCUAGAGGAGCAGUUUAGGUACCUGGUAGGAUAAGAGGAGAAGAAAGAAGAAAAAUGGUAGCAGAGGAAGAGGGUAAGAAGAGAAUAGGAGGAACCUGGGGCAAGGCAUGCCCUUCAUGACCACAUUCAUGGGGCAGAAGUCCCCCUUCCCAGCUGUGCCUGCACACACCACACACACACACACACACACGCACACACACACACACACCCUGCUCAUGGACCCCUGCCAGCAUUAGUGCUGGUACUUACUUCCUACGCCAUGAUCAGGUCCAAAGAUUAUUGAGUUUGGAACUUUCUGUCUUGAAGGUUUUAAGGAACUUUCUUCCAGAUGAGAGGCUGACUGGUACCUCUCUCUACCCCAUAUUUCAUAACCAUUUCACCCAGGAGUUGUCUUAUUAGAAUCUAUGUAUGUUUUUUACAGCUCUUCUGCCAUCUGGCUGUGUGGUCUGGAAGUCACUUUUCUUUUCUGGGCCCUGGUUUCCUCAGUGGUGAAAGGAGUUUGCCCUUUGAUCUUGAAGGAACUUCUGGUUCCAACACUCUGUGUUUCUCUGAGGUCCCAUUUCAAGCAUGGUGUAAGAAUGUAAGGCAGGAUCAAAAUGUCCCAGCUUGCCCCUUUCCCUUCAGUUUACCUGUCUUGAACAGGUUAAUUAAUGCAAUGAACUGAUUUUUCCUAAGAACAUUGUGUGUGUGUAUGCAUACAUAUACAUGUAAACAUAUGAAUACAUACACAUAUAUAUGUACAUGCAAAUGUGUAGAUAUAUAUUCUACAAUAGUUUGAAAUUUUAGUAAUGGUGUUAAGUGGCUUAGAGGAAGAAUUUGGAUGUUGUCUAAAUAAAAAGAGACAAUAAAAGGAGAAAAAAGCCUGUUUUUUGACCUCUAAAAUUUUUGGACUGUCAGUUACAUUCUUAUUAUUGAGAUGGGUCUAGUGUAUGUAUAGAUGUGUGUUUGUUUUUAGUUUUAGCCUGUUAGGAAAACUGGAGAAAAAUGGUGCUCAUUACUCACUAGGAAACAUCUGUCCAUUUUUGUACUACAGUAUACAUAUUUUUAGAGGCAGUAUUUUAUAUUACACUUAGACUUCACCAAGCGAACCCAAGACACUGGGAGAUGGAGUCUGAUGCCUUGUAUGAAAUGGGCCGGGUGGCUGACUGUCAAAGGAAAACACAAGUUUGGUACAUAGCAGGAUUUACGUUCUUAUUAAAAAUGUGUUUGCCAAGAAUGUAGAUCGGAAGGGAAAUUCUUGGAAUUGUUACUUUUUUUUUUUUUUUUUACCUUUGGAAGGAAUGAAUAGAUAUGUGGUAUUAAUACAGUUUGGGUGUCCUUCCUUCCCAUUGCAGAGCUGCUGUCAGGAGAAGACAGCAGCGACUAAGAAAAACAGGCCAGGCCGGCCAGCAGCAGAAGGGCCCUUCCUCACAGGGAGCAGAGCCAUUUAGCUCCCUCUGAGCUCCCUCCUGCCCAUGAGCAGCCAGAGAGGGGAGGGACACAGGUGACAACUCUGGGCCUAAUGGCCCUCUCUCUGUUUUUAUUUCUCAGCUGGGGGUUGAAUGUUCUCAUUUUAUGGUCACUUGUCCUUUUCAGCUCUGAGGAAAGAGAGGUUUCUCCCUCCCCCAACUCUAUUAUAUAUAUUUCUUGUUUUUUUGUUCCAUAAAGAAAAGUAAAGCAAAACACUAAGAUUAUUUCUCUAAGGAGUUUCUUACAUUCAGAAAACCAUGCACGGAUGGAGCUGAGUGCUGUAUGAAGGGGUGCAGACCACUCCACUCCUGCCCAGAGUUUGGAGAGGCUGCCUAGGAUGCCUGCAGCCUGGGCGUGAGGGAGGUACGAAGACGGCUCAGGUAGGUACAGAAAGAUGAGUGUGAUGUGCCCAAGAAACAAGUAAAUAAUCCUGAAACCCUCGGAUACCUCCCUGUAUCAAUGAAAGAGUAGUUGGUUGGCACCCCCAUUCUUCUCUCCACUCACUCAUCUGUCCAAGGAUCUACUGAAUCAAUAUGCACUGAUGAAAUAACCCCAUUUUUCAGGUUAGAAAACUGAGACUGUAACGGGCUUGCUCAAGAUCGCAAGCUUGUAAGUGACAGAGCUAGUCAGUGUCAGAGCCAGAUUUGAACUGGGAAUUGUCUUACUCUGGAACUUCCCAUGAAGAGGUCAUUACACUAGAAAGUGAUCAAUGCAAGGAUGAGGCAUGCCUGGGGACUGAGGAGUCAGAGAAGAGGGAUUUGAUCCAGGUUUUGGGGGUCAAGAAAGGUAUUUUGGGCCUAGUGGUUCUUGAGUUUAACAUUAAAUUAUGGACCUGAAAAAGCAGAUUGAGGUACUGUUGGAGAUUCUAGGCAGAAAGAAUAAUUUGUGAGAACAAGUGUGUGUGAGGAAUUACAAGUGCUUUGGUGUUUCUGAAACAUCAAGGCAAGGAGGGGUGGGAGAUGAGCCUGGAGAGGUGAGGUGGGGCCAGAUCAUGGAAAAUCUUUUAGAGUCUACAAUGUAGACGAUGCCAAAUGAUGAGUUUGGACCUUUGCAGGACAUGGCAGGUGCAGUAGGGUGGGAAGGAGGGAAGAGAGGGGAGACCUGAUGACUAAUUGGGUGGAUAGAAGAAAUGAGAGAGAUGGAGAAGCUAUAGGACAUCUCUCUGGCUUCUAUCUUGGUGGCUGGGUGGAUGGGAAUGCCAACGAUUGAUACAGAGGAUUCAGGAGGAGAGCAGGGUUCAGAAGAAGGGUGCUGAGCAGUUUUAUUCUUCACCAGUCUAUAGUUAUAACCACAUUUUAUUAUUAACAUUUUUAUAGCAGGUUAAAAUGGUAAUGCACAGAUUUCAUACUUAGUAUGAUUUAUAGUUAUUAACUGUUAUAAUUUCAUAAAUAAGAAACAGCUUUCUUACCUAAGCAAAAUUAAAUAAUUUGCUACUAUCUCAAAAAAUAAAAGUUAAGUCAGCCAUAACUUUAUGGAUACUAAUCAUAAUAACAAAUACUACACAUGGUUCAGGUAUUAGUCUAUGGACUUUACCUACAUCAAUUCCAUUUAUCUUGCCUCUGGGGAUUUUAGUUUGAAACCUAAGUGGCACCACCCUGGCAUUCAUUCAUGUCCUGUUGUGGAUGGAGGGCUAGUGGUGUGGAUCUGCCAGCGGUGAGUUUGAACGUGGCACAAUCUCCAUGGCCCAGUGACUGAAACAGGAAGACAUCUUUGUGAAAAUAAAUCAGAGGAAGCUGUUUCACUCCAAGCAGCAUAAGAUGGAAUGUGAACUUUCUUCUUACGGUCUAGGUUUGUAUUCCAGUAAUGCAAUUAGAAGCUGUGUGACUCAUGAAUGUUCACAGCAGCAUUAUUCAUAAUAGCCCAAACUGGGAACAGCCUAAAUGUCCAUCAACUAAUGAAGAGAUAGACAAAAUUGGAAGAUGCUCCAUUGAAUACUACUCAGCAAUAAAAAGGAAGAAACUACUGACACCUGCUUGCUACUUCAUGGCUGAACCACAAACACAUUGUGCUAAGUGAUGGAAGCCAAACACAAACAACUACAUAUUGCUUGAUUCCAUUUCUACAAAAUGCCCAGAAAAUGAUUUUGUGAGGAAGGAUGUAGAGGAUGCUGUGUGUGCUGUCAAGAUCCCAUUCAGGACUGAAGGGCUUAUACCUCCAGCUGACCAAGGCUGGCGCCUUUCCUGGGAGAGCCUUCAGCCAAUGACUCAUCAACUCAAGGCUCAACAUUUUCAGCCAACUUGCUACAAUUCAGAAGACCACCCAGCCUCAGAGCUUCCUGUGGGGUCAGCAGAGGUCUACAUUGAGAAUUCACCCAGCCCAGCUUCUCCCUCUAUUUUAUUCUUCCCUUCUCUUCCACAGAUGUUGACCCCAAGAGUAUUCCUUAAUAAACCUUGUUCAUGCUAACCUCGAAAUCCAAGUCUGCUUCCCAGAGAGCCCAAACUGUGACAGAGGAGAUGUGAAUACACGUGUUUAGUCAGCCAGCUGGAAGGCUUUUUACAGUGCUUAUUUUGAGAUCAUGGGCCUUUUAAAAUAAGAUAAUUAAAUGUAUAAAUUCUUUCAACCCAGAAGGUGAGGUUCACUUUCCUCUCCAAUAUGAACUCUCUCCUCUUGGCUUUUGAUCAGAGACAUCAGACUCAGUUGGGUUCCCAACUUCUCCUUCACCCCACAGCUGGUGCUAUAUGACCUUUUUUUGUGAGCUCAGUCUCCCACUUCCCGGGGCCAAAUGGCUCUCAGUGGAAAACUAUUAACAGUUUAUCUUAAGUCAGGUUUUCUUGAAGCAGAUUGUACAUGAGGGUCUGUGUGUAAGUGCUUUGUUAAGAAGGUGUCCCUGGAAGAAGGGAGAAGGAGAAGCAGGGCAGGGCAGGGAAGGAAGCCAAGCAAGGCUGGGAUCUCAGGUAGAGUCCUUUGGAGGUGAUGGAGGUGGCGUGAUGGUUAACUUUAUGUGGCAACUUGACUGGCCACAGUGGGUCCAGAUUAAGCAUUAUUUCUGGGUGUACUUGUGAGGUUGUUUCUGGAUGAGGUUAGCAUUUGAAUCGGUGGACUCAGUAAAGAAUUUCCCCUCCCCAAGAUCAUGCAACUUGGGCAUCAUCCAAUCCACUGAGGGCCUGAAUAGAACAAAAGGCAGAAAGAGGAGGAAUUCAUUCCUUUUUCCCUGCCUCACUGCUUGAGCUGGGACAUCUCCUCUCAUCUGUUCUGCCCUGAGACUGGGAUUUAUACCACCAUUUCCCCUGGUUCUCAGGCAGGCCUUCAGACCCAGACUGAAUUACACCACUGGAUUUCCUGGGUUUCCAACUUGUAGAUGGCAGAUUGUGGGGCUUCUCAGCCUUCAUAAUCAAAUGAUCCAAAUUAUCAUUUUCUAUCUAUCAUCUAUCUAGCUAUAUAGCUAUCUAGCUAUCUAUCUAGCUAUCUAGCUAGCUAGCUAGCUAGCUAGCUAUCCUAUUGGUUCUGUUUCUCUGGAGAAUUCUGACUAAUAUGGGUAGCUUUGCCUGAUCCGCAAAAGAACUCUGGGAUAUACCUUAUACCUCAGAAUUUUCCUACCUGAGGCAGAAGAGUUGGGCUUUUGUACCCUUGCACCCACUAUUCAGAUUGAUUGACAAUGACUCCCUGUGGUGGGGCUGUGAGCUGAGGUAUAAAUGCCAGGCCCUCCUGGCUCUCUGCCCAUGCAGGGAAAGCCACUCCAGUACCAUGAGGGUUGUCAUCUGAAGAACACACAUGAGUGCUGGUCAUUGGGAGCCAAAGCACACAGAAUCUAGUGAAGGGACAUUCAAAAAUGGUGGGAAGGGUCUGAAGUGGUCUGGGUGGAUCAAUGACAUUGUUUUCUGCAUAGUUCUAUCACCAGCAUCCUCGUCAGUCUGGCCUUGGUGCUAGGCUCCAAUUUUGAUAGUAUUCUGUCUCUGGCAUAGUAGAACUUGUAGAAUAUUUAAUUUUGUGUGGGACUGUAUUCCAGUGACUCUGUUUGGUUGAGUUAAUUGCAAAAUUCUCCAUUAAAUAAUGAAAUGAGUUAACCUUUUUAUAGAGUUGCUCUGUAUUUGCUAUCAAAAUGCUGAAGAGUGUUUGUGAAAAGCAGCAAUCCUAGUGUUGGUCUAAUUGAUAUUGAGCUGUUCCUCAUGUUAGUAAUUGCCCCAAAAGCUUAGUGGCUCCUUGAAGCCAUUCUCAGAAUGAUAAUAGGAUUAUGUUAGCAGCAUAAAGGAAGAGGCUAUGACAGGAGGUCAUGUAUCCAAGUUAUCAAAAAAUGUAUCAAAUGGUUUGGGUAAAAAUUAAAGAGCAGGCAGGCUAGGACAUUUGUGCUGUUUGGAGCUGAAUCUGCUCUGUCAGGAGCCCAUUUCCCAUCCAUUUUGAUCCACCCUUUUUGAUAUUACAGUAAAGGCUCUGAAGGACCAUUAAAAACCCAGGAACAAUAUCAAGAUCAUGCAACCUGACCCAAAAAAUGGCUGACAAUAGAGUAAUAAAUGCCACAAGUCUCAAAUUUUAACCAUUUUCUCUAAUAGAAGAAAUAGAAUGUAGUAAUAGUGCAUAAUAGAUUAGAAUGUAGUAAUAGUACAUAAUAGAAAAGCUAUCUCUAAGCAUUUGUGCUCUUCCUAUAGGAUAUUAUAUUGAGACAUCCAGACAUGCAGUGUGGAAGAGCAAGGUGGUGCUGAUUUUUGAAAGGAUAUUCUGAAAAUUCCUGGGUGUUUUCAGACCUGAGCCAGUUUUCAGACCCAGAACCCAGUGCCUGAAGACGUGGCUGGGU
This is a long non-coding RNA of Orcinus orca (killer whale), 7596 nucleotides long. RefSeq lists it as uncharacterized. Lineage: Eukaryota; Metazoa; Chordata; Mammalia; Artiodactyla; Delphinidae. The record is from RefSeq and is a predicted model, not a curated record. The transcript has 3 exons.